This 396-nucleotide ribosomal RNA is filed under the name uncultured bacterium. RNAcentral describes it as "partial 16S ribosomal RNA". It matches the Rfam family "Bacterial small subunit ribosomal RNA", at positions 523 to 918 of the family's 1533-position model. The record is from RNAcentral.
AUACGUAGGGGGCGAGCGUUGUCCGGAAUUACUGGGUGUAAAGGGAGCGUAGGCGGGAGUGCAAGUCAGAUGUGAAAUACAUGGGCUCAACCCAUGGGCUGCAUUUGAAACUGCAUUUCUUGAGUGAAGUAGAGGUAAGCGGAAUUCCUGGUGUAGCGGUGAAAUGCGUAGAUAUCAGGAGGAACACCGGUGGCGAAGGCGGCUUACUGGGCUUUUACUGACGCUUAGGCUCGAAAGCGUGGGGAGCAAACAGGAUUAGAUAGCCUGGUAGUCCACCCUGUAAACAAUGAUUACUAGGAGUAGGGUGACUGACCCCAUACGUGCCGCAAUUAACACAAUAAUUAAUCCGCCUGGCGAGUACGCCCGCAAGGUUGAAGCUGAAAUAAAUUGACGGGG